GUGAUUGUUUUUAUAUAACGUCAAUUGUAUAUGCAAAUUUAAAUGUCUGACUUUUCUAUGCGUUUUAUUUCGCAUUCAAUAUUCUUUGGUAUAUAUAUAUAAAAAAAAACCACACAUGAUUUAACGAUUUAGGAUGUAAAGUGUUGGGGUGAUUUUAUUUUUCUACACCCAACAUGAAAAUAACGUCAAGCCAACAUAUACUCUAUUGUGUAUUAUUGUUUUGUUCACACAUCGUUGACAAUAUAAAGUAAUUUGAUGCGACUGUCAUACAAGUAAAAGGUUUAACUAGCUAUAAAACCAGGUUCAAUCCACCAUUCUCUACAUCAGAAAAUGCCUGUACCAAGUCAGGAAUAUGACAGUUAUUAUCCAUUCGUUUGAUGUGUUUGAGCUUUUGAAUUUACCAUUUGAUUAGGGACUUUCCGUUUUGAAAUUUUAUAGGAGUUAAGUAUUUUGUGAUUUCACUUUUUUAUAACUAUUUUAUUUAUAUUGUAGACAUUUUGACAAUAAGCAUAACAUCGUUAAAGAUACAAAUGUAUAUGAUGUUCAAAACAAGGUAUUUUAAGAAUUUGCCCACAUAUGUAUGCAGUAGCUCAUCAAAAUGUGUGAAUGAAUUUUAAUAACUUGGACACAUGGUAUGCAUUCAGAUUUAACUAGUUAUAACUGGUGCUAGGAUGAUUUAAUAAAUGUGAGUCUUUCAAGAAACUGGAUAAUAAAAACGAGUUUGUAGCACCCAGUCAAAGUUGUCAUUUCAAAUCUUUCAUCACACAUAUACGGUACAAGGAGCAUACCGACAAUAUUAUUCAAAAUGAAUUAUUUUUAUCUGAAACACAAAGAACCAAUAAUUUCAGCUAUGGUCAUCUGUGUCAUAAAUAAUCGGAAAGGUAUUUAUCGUCCACCAAGUACAUUAAGCUUUCUUAUUAUAUUACGAUUACUUAAAAUUAGGUCAUUAGUUACUUGAAAGCAUCCUUUCCAUUCGUUUGAUAUGUUUGAGCUUUUGAUUUUGCCAUUUAACUUUUUUUGGCAUUAUCGUAAUAAUCAGAUGGCUGUUUUGAAAUGCUUUAUUAAGUUUAGUUUUGGAGUUUAGUCACUAGCAUCAAAUAUUUCGUCCUCUG
RNAcentral lists this long non-coding RNA (1112 nucleotides) under Mytilus galloprovincialis (Mediterranean mussel). Lineage: Eukaryota; Metazoa; Mollusca; Bivalvia; Mytilida; Mytilidae. The record is from RNAcentral.